RNAcentral lists this ribosomal RNA (274 nucleotides) under uncultured bacterium. RNAcentral's name for it is "partial 16S ribosomal RNA". It matches the Rfam family "Bacterial small subunit ribosomal RNA", at positions 523 to 796 of the family's 1533-position model. The record is from RNAcentral.
AUACGGAGGGUGCGAGCGUUAAUCGGAAUUACGGGGCGUAAAGCGCGCGUAGGCGGUUUGGUCAGUCGGAUGUGAAAGCCCCAGGCUCAACCUGGGAAUGGCAUUCGAUACUGCCUGACUAGAGUAUGGUAGAGGGAAGUGGAAUUUCCGGUGUAGCGGUGAAAUGCGUAGAUAUCGGAAGGAACACCAGUGGCGAAGGCGACUUCCUGGGCCAAUACUGACGCUGAGGCACGAAAGCCAGGGUAGCGAACGGGAUUAGAAACCCCAGUAGUCC